CAGUCGUACCUUCGGGUAAUCAGCCUUUUCGGGUGCGAUUCUGUGGGGUUUGAUGAGCUUAACACCUUCAUGCUCUGCAUAUUCGUGCUCUUGGGUGUACUUGCCCGUGUGGUUGGUUAACAUCAAUUUUGGUGGUCAUAAAAUGACUGGAGGAAUGUAGCUUCGAUCUUGUAUUGAAGUGUUAUAGCCUUCGGUAGAUGUGAUGAUCGAGAUUGAGGAUUGCAACGGAUACCCUUCGGGGCUACCUGUCUGAUCUCUGAUCGUUGCUCUGGUGCCGAAAGCUUGCUUACGGUUAUCAAAGUCGAUGGUCAAUAGGUUAGAAUGGGUUAAA
This 331-nucleotide ribosomal RNA is filed under the name uncultured Glomeromycotina. Its description in RNAcentral is "eukaryotic LSU rRNA". The record is from RNAcentral. Lineage: Eukaryota; Fungi; Glomeromycota.